Molecule: long non-coding RNA, 357 nt
Filed under: Nicotiana benthamiana
Lineage: Eukaryota; Viridiplantae; Streptophyta; Magnoliopsida; Solanales; Solanaceae
Description: long non-coding RNA (NBEN_LNC016224)
Source: RNAcentral
UCAAAAGUGGACCUCUGAGAGCCGUCAAAAGAUUUAACAUGAAUAGCCCCAUAUUUUAUCUCGUGCAACCCUUUGCCCAACUUAUUGAGGGUGAUUAGUGGACAAAUGUUGAGACUAGAACCUCCGUUUAUUAGGAUUCUGGUGAUGAAAUGGUCCUCACAUUGCACGGGGGAUGUGCAAUGCUUUGUUAUGACUGAACCCUUCAGGCGGCAAUUCAUCUUCAUGAAAGGUGAUUUUGUGACUUUCCAAUAUCUUCCCUAUCAUGUUUUCCAUCUCUCCUCCGGUCAUGUUGCUCGAGACAUAAGCCUCGCUCAAUAUCUUCAUCAAGGCAUUUUUAUGCGCCUCAGAACUCUGCAG